GAUGAACGCUGGCGGCGUGCCUAAUACAUGCAAGUCGAGCGAACGGACGAGAAGCUUGCUUUUCUGAUGUUAGCGGCGGACGGGUGAGUAACACGUGGAUAACCUACCUAUAAGACUGGGAUAACUUCGGGAAACCGGAGCUAAUACCGGAUAAUAUUUUGAACCGCAUGGUUCAAAAGUGAAAGACGGUCUUGCUGUCACUUAUAGAUGGAUCCGCGCUGCAUUAGCUAGUUGGUAAGGUAACGGCUUACCAAGGCAACGAUGCAUAGCCGACCUGAGAGGGUGAUCGGCCACACUGGAACUGAGACACGGUCCAGACUCCUACGGGAGGCAGCAGUAGGGAAUCUUCCGCAAUGGGCGCAAGCCUGACGGAGCAACGCCGCGUGAGUGAUGAAGGUCUUCGGAUCGUAAAACUCUGUUAUUAGGGAAGAACAUAUGUGUAAGUAACUGUGCACAUCUUGACGGUACCUAAUCAGAAAGCCACGGCUAACUACGUG
RNAcentral lists this ribosomal RNA (497 nucleotides) under uncultured bacterium. RNAcentral's name for it is "partial 16S ribosomal RNA". It matches the Rfam family "Bacterial small subunit ribosomal RNA", at positions 28 to 507 of the family's 1533-position model. The record is from RNAcentral.